CGAAAUAUAGCUUAAUUAAAGCAUCUCGCUUACACCGAGAAAAUAUCUGUUAAAUUCAAAUUAUUUCGA
This 69-nucleotide transfer RNA is filed under the name Eupsophus migueli. Its description in RNAcentral is "tRNA-Val". It matches the Rfam family "tRNA". Rfam says of the family: Transfer RNA (tRNA) molecules are approximately 80 nucleotides in length. Lineage: Eukaryota; Metazoa; Chordata; Amphibia; Anura; Alsodidae. The record is from RNAcentral.